GAUCCCCAGGGAGGAUCUCCGCUCUCUGUGAGUACUUCUGUAACAGCAAACAUCAGAGUGUCCAUGACCCAGAGAUCUCAGAUGCAAAUCAGCUUCUCUUUGGAGCUGGACAGCUUGUCAUACACAUUCACAUACAAUCCCAGACAAACAGCUAUUGGAACUGAAGAAGCAUUCAGCAGAAUUGGUGGUGGUGUAUAACAUAGCUUGACUAAUUAGGCCACAUUUACUGUGGUUAACGUGCAAUUUAUUCAAAGUGGAAGGAGAUAAUGUUAAUGCAAUAUAAGAUGUUAAUGAGACUUCAGUCCAUUUAGCUUUGAGG
Long non-coding RNA from Oxyura jamaicensis (ruddy duck), 319 nucleotides. RefSeq lists it as uncharacterized. NCBI's taxonomy places the organism in Eukaryota, Metazoa, Chordata, Aves, Anseriformes, Anatidae. The record is from RefSeq and is a predicted model, not a curated record. The transcript has 3 exons.